This 251-nucleotide ribosomal RNA is filed under the name uncultured bacterium. RNAcentral describes it as "partial 16S ribosomal RNA". It matches the Rfam family "Bacterial small subunit ribosomal RNA", at positions 15 to 249 of the family's 1533-position model. The record is from RNAcentral.
GAUCCUGGCUCAGGAUGAACGCUGGCGGCGUGCUUAACACAUGCAAGUCGAACGGGAAUUACUUUAUUGAAACUUCGGUCGAUUUAAUUUAAUUCUAGUGGCGGACGGGUGGGUAACGCGUGGGUAACCUGCCUUAUACAGGGGGAUAACAGUCAGAAAUGGCUGCUAAUACCGCAUAAGCGCACAGAGCUGCAUGGCUCAGUGUGAAAAACUCCGGUGGUAUAAGAUGGACCCGCGUUGGAUUAGCUGGG